Cyprinus carpio (common carp) is the source of this 1799-nucleotide long non-coding RNA. RefSeq lists it as uncharacterized. NCBI's taxonomy places the organism in Eukaryota, Metazoa, Chordata, Actinopteri, Cypriniformes, Cyprinidae. The transcript is spliced from 4 exons. The record is from RefSeq and is a predicted model, not a curated record.
AACCUGCCGCGUUUAUGAUACACGUGAUAACUUCCUUGUUGAUGUGCAAUCGAUACAACAGAAGAUUAAACUGAACGCACUUCGUCGAAGGAUGUUUGUAUCGUCAAACGCGCAUUUGAAAUGCUUUGGAAACACUUCUCUUGCCGACUGGAAACACAUGACUUCGAAGACAUUAAUACAAAAGUUUCUUUCAAAUAGUAAUAUCCAGUAGGCUAAGUGGCGCUAAAAAGAAAAGGCGUUCAGCAGUUUUCUCCAAAUGAACGUGAAUGUGUUAAUGUUUUGUCACGCUGGUUGGUCAGUUUGGAAACGAUAUAUCAGGUGAGUGGCAUCGAAAGAUUAAUGGUUUGUCGCGUUUGAAAAUAACGUACACCUCAUCGGGGUUGCCAGGUGUUCUCGACAAAACCCGCCCAAUUUCUACUAAAAACUAGCCCAGUUGCCUUUAGAGGGGGAGUCCCCCGUUAAAAAUCGCGUUCCAGGAGUAAAAUACACGUUUUUUUUUUGGCGGGGAUCCCCUGGUAAAAUUCGCAUUCCAUGACUAAAUAUCACGUUAUUGAGGUCGCUUCAACCAGUGGACAUGAAAAACCAUCCGCGGCAACAGUGUUAAAGCAGCCCUAUUCCGCGGGAAAACCACGGACUUGGCAACACUGCACCUCAUGUACUAAACCUUGGCAAUAGUAGUAACAAAAGUGAGAUAAACGCAUUUGCUAGGCAACCAUACAGCUUUAGCUUACUUUUACAAAUCUGAGCUCUUUAAUCGAGCGUCAUGACUCAAGUGCAAUGCUGUACCAGGACAUGACAUCACUUGCCGGGGUCACGGCCCGCCACCGACUCCACGAUGAAAAAAAAAAGGAAAGGGGUUAGAGAUGAAGACGAAAAAAGAAAGACUUGGGAAGUGCUGCUCUGUAGGUCACCUUGCCUGGCUGAGAGAUCAAUGUCGCUUUGACUCGCUGGUUAAAGAAGAGAGAGAGAGAGAGAGAGAGAGAGAGAGAGAGAGACUGCAGCCCAGACACCUUGCCAGUAAAUCACCUUGCCAGCUUCAUUGAGAUGCAGAAAAGCCAUAAAUUACAUGCGCCGCAGCCACUCAAAGACAGUCGAGGCCCAGCUGGGGAAAAUCACCAAUGAUUCAUCAAUUUAAAGGAGCAGAAACGAGGUCUUUUCUCCACUAUUAAUCAUGCAAGGAAUCACUGUGCUUUCCACGGCGUGGACCAUGCAGCGUAUGAACUCCUCCGAACACCAUGCAUUUAAGACUGUGUGUGCGUCAUCCGCUUGAUAUUCAAAUCAUCAUUGUGCUGAUGAGCCACUAUGUUUUCACCCAACGCCCUAAAUACAGACGUCCCACACACACACACACUUCUUUUCACUUUCUUUCCAGCUGUGAGCCCACAUCCUGUGUGCUGUGACAGUGAGAGGGGAAGCUCGACUCACUCUUCUAAUUAUUUUGGGGCUGAUAAUAGUGAUGGCUCGAGAGAACGAAUGAUGGUCCUGAAGAGAUAAAGAAGGUUGGAGAAAACAAAAAGGAGAUGUGACAUUGAGAAACAGACUGUUCAGUUCAGUUUAUGGUGUACAGACAACUCAUGAAUUUAGUUUUGUGCUUCAGAAAACACAAACAGACCACGACUCAUUUGUUCUGGUGAGCUCUAAGUGAAAGUAUCUGCUAAUGACAUUUCUGAGUUAACUAAUAGGCCUGAGUUAUAACUGGUAGAAAAGAAAUAAAGGUUAUUAAUAGCUAAUAAACUGUAAGCUCACUGUCAGGUUAUUCCUAUCCAAAGAAAACAAUAAUUUAUGGUACUGACAGUUUC